UGGAACGGUUCAUGUAUUUGUAUCAAACCGAAACAGUACGGGCGUCACGGUUUGGUGCAUGAAUUUACACGGAGAAUACACGGUAUAAAAAUAAAUAAAACUUGCGUGCAAAUGUUAUGUAUAACUAAUUUAAUGCGGAACUACUGUUAGAUACGCAGGUUCUUCAGGGACACCUAAUCUGUAGCCCCGCCUUAGCUCUGAAGCUCUAAUUGGCAGCCGAUGUAGCUGAGAUC
Etheostoma spectabile (orangethroat darter) is the source of this 233-nucleotide long non-coding RNA. RefSeq lists it as uncharacterized. The transcript is spliced from 3 exons. The record is from RefSeq and is a predicted model, not a curated record. Lineage: Eukaryota; Metazoa; Chordata; Actinopteri; Perciformes; Percidae.